Molecule: ribosomal RNA, 252 nt
Filed under: uncultured bacterium
Lineage: Bacteria
Description: partial 16S ribosomal RNA
Rfam family: Bacterial small subunit ribosomal RNA
Source: RNAcentral
UACGUAGGGGGCAAGCGUUGUCCGGAUUUAUUGGGCGUAAAGAGCGUGUAGGCGGCUUGGUAGGUUUCGCGUCAAAACCUGAGGCUCAACCUCAGUUCGCGUGGGAAACCACCUAGCUAGAGUCCGGAAGAGGAGAACGGAAUUCCCAGUGUAGCGGUGAAAUGCGCAGAUAGUGGGAAGAACACCAGUGGCGAAGGCGGUUCUCUGGGACGGUACUGACGCUGAGACGCGAAAGCGUGGGGAGCAAACAGG